RNAcentral lists this ribosomal RNA (382 nucleotides) under uncultured bacterium. Its description in RNAcentral is "bacterial SSU rRNA". It matches the Rfam family "Bacterial small subunit ribosomal RNA", at positions 29 to 408 of the family's 1533-position model. The record is from RNAcentral.
AAUGAACGCUGGCGGCGUGGAUUAGGCAUGCAAGUCGAACGCGAAAGUUCCCUUCGGGGAGCGAGUAGAGUGGCGAAAGGGUGAGUAAUGCUUGGAUGACCUGCCCUCGAGACGGGGACAACAGUUCGAAAGGACUGCUAAUACCCGAUAGUCCGGUUUAGAUGCGUCUAGAUCGGUAAAUGGUGCUUCCGCUCGAGGAGGGGUUCAAGUCCUAUCAGCUUGUUGGUGAGGUAACGGCUCACCAAGGCGAUGACGGGUAGCCGGACUGAGAGGUUGGCCGGCCACAUGGGAACUGAGACACUGUCCUGACUCCUACGGGAGGCUGCAGUCGAGAAUCUUCUGCAAUGGGCGAAAGCCUGACAGAGCGACGCCGCGUGGAGGA